GGACUGGGGUGAACAGUCGCGCUAUGUACCAAAAGUACAGGUGAGGAAAGUCCGGGCUUCAUAGAGCAAGGAUAACGGAUAACGUCCGCCGGAGGUGACUCCCGGGAUAGUGCAACAGAGAUAUACCGCCGCUUUUGCGGUAAGGGUGGAAAGGCGAGGUAAGAGCUCACCGGCAUGGUGGUGACAUCAUGGCCCUGUAAACCCUAUCCGAAGCAACACCGAAUGUAGAGAGCUUUGCUACGCCUGCUCGGCGGAAUCUAUAAGGUGGCAAAGAGCUUUGUGGCAACACAAAGCCAAGAUAGAUGACUGUUCCCGACAGAACCCGGCUUACAGCCCCAGUCCCUUA
Molecule: RNase P RNA, 346 nt
Filed under: Clostridia bacterium
Lineage: Bacteria; Bacillati; Bacillota; Clostridia
Description: RNase P RNA component class A
Rfam family: Bacterial RNase P class A
About the family: Ribonuclease P (RNase P) is a ubiquitous endoribonuclease, found in archaea, bacteria and eukarya as well as chloroplasts and mitochondria. Its best characterised activity is the generation of mature 5'-ends of tRNAs by cleaving the 5'-leader elements of precursor-tRNAs. Cellular RNase Ps are ribonucleoproteins.
Source: RNAcentral